AGAGUUUGAUCAUGGCUCAGGAUGAACGCUAGCGGGAGGCCUAACACAUGCAAGCCGAGCGGUAUUUGUCUUUCGGGACAGAGAGAGCGGCGUACGGGUGCGGAACACGUGUGCAACCUGCCUUUAUCAGGGGGAUAGCCUUUCGAAAGGAAGAUUAAUACCCCAUAAUAUAUUAAUUGGCAUCAAUUGAUAUUGAAAACUACGGUGGACAGAGAUGGGCACGCGCAAGAUUAGAUAGUUGGUAGGGUAACGGCCUACCAAGUCAGUGAUCUUUAGGGGGCCUGAGAGGGUGAUCCCCCACACUGGUACUGAGACACGGACCAGACUCCUACGGGAGGCAGCAGUGAGGAAUAUUGGACAAUGGGUUAGCGCCUGAUCCAGCCAUCCCGCGUGAAGGACGACGGCCCUAUGGGUUGUNNNCUUCUUUUGUAUAGGGAUAAACCUACUCUCGUGAGAGUAGCUGAAGGUACUAUACGAAUAAGCACCGGCUAACUCCGUGCCAGCAGCCGCGGUAAUACGGAGGGUGCAAGCGUUAUCCGGAUUUAUUGGGUUUAAAGGGUCCGUAGGCGGAUCUGUAAGUCAGUGGUGAAAUCUCACAGCUCAACUGUGAAACUGCCAUUGAUACUGCAGGUCUUGAGUAAGGUAGAAGUGGCUGGAAUAAGUAGUGUAGCGGUGAAAUGCAUAGAUAUUACUUAGAACACCAAUUGCGAAGGCAGGUCACUAUGUCUUAACUGACGCUGAUGGACGAAAGCGUGGGGAGCGAACAGGA
Molecule: ribosomal RNA, 769 nt
Filed under: uncultured bacterium
Lineage: Bacteria
Description: bacterial SSU rRNA
Rfam family: Bacterial small subunit ribosomal RNA
Source: RNAcentral